This 491-nucleotide ribosomal RNA is filed under the name uncultured bacterium. RNAcentral describes it as "partial 16S ribosomal RNA". It matches the Rfam family "Bacterial small subunit ribosomal RNA", at positions 899 to 1397 of the family's 1533-position model. The record is from RNAcentral.
ACUCAAAUGAAUUGACGGGGAUCCGCACAAGCAGUGGAUUAUGCGGUUUAAUUCGAUGCAACGCGAAGAACCUUACCAGGGAUUGACAUGCCGAGAAUCCUUCAGAGAUGGGGGAGUGCCUGAAAAGGAGCUCGGACACAGGUGGUGCAUGGCUGUCGUCAGCUCGUACCGUAAGGCGUAGAGUUAAGUCUCGCAACGAGCGCAACCCUCGUCUCUAGUUGCCACUUGGGACUCUAGAGAGACUGCCGGUGCAAGCCGGAGGAAGGAGAGGAUGACGUCAAGUCAGCAUGCCCCUUACAUCCUGGGCUACACGCGUAAUACAAUGGUCGAGACAAUCGGAAGCGACCUCGCGAGAGCAAGCGAAUCUGCCAAACUCGACCUCAGUUCGGAUUGUAGGCUGCAACUCGCCUACAUGAAGCCGGAAUUGCUAGUAAUCGCCAGUCAGCUAUAUGGCGGUGAAUACGUUCCCGGAUCUUGUACACACCGCCCGU